This 574-nucleotide non-coding RNA is filed under the name Succinatimonas sp. CAG:777. RNAcentral describes it as "Bacterial large subunit ribosomal RNA". It matches the Rfam family "Bacterial large subunit ribosomal RNA", at positions 54 to 695 of the family's 2925-position model. Lineage: Bacteria; Pseudomonadati; Pseudomonadota; Gammaproteobacteria; Aeromonadales; Succinivibrionaceae. The record is from Rfam by way of RNAcentral.
GGACGUGCUAAUCUGCGAAAAGCUCAGGCAAGCCGAUAAGGGGCGCAAUAACCUGAGGUAUCCGAAUGGGGAAACCCGACAGCAAUGUCAUCUAUACCUUAAGGUAUAGAAGCGAACCAGGGGAAGUGAAACAUCUCAGUACCCUGAGGAAAAGAAAUCAACCGAGAUUUCCCAAGUAGCGGCGAGCGAACGGGAAAGAGCCCAAAAGUAUAAUAUGUUCAAGUAGAACUGCAUGGAAAGGCAGAGGGGACAGAGUGAUACUCUCGUAUACGUAAGAGCAUAAUAUAUGAGCGUGAGUAGGGCGGGACACGUGGUAUCCUGUCUGAAUAUGGGGGGACCAUCCUCCAAGGCUAAAUACUACCUGACGACCGAUAGUGAACCAGUACCGUGAGGGAAAGGCGAAAAGAACCCCAGUAAGGGGAGUGAAAAAGAAUCUGAAACCGUGUGCGUACAAGCAGUGGGAGCCCGAAAGGGUGACUGCGUACCUUUUGUAUAAUGGGUCAGCGAGUUAUCUGUAUUAGCGAGGUUAACUUUGAUGAGGGAGCCGUAGGGAAACCGAGUCUUAAUAGGGCGA